Molecule: ribosomal RNA, 467 nt
Filed under: uncultured bacterium
Lineage: Bacteria
Description: SSU rRNA
Rfam family: Bacterial small subunit ribosomal RNA
Source: RNAcentral
AGGACGAACGCUGGCGGCGUGCUUAACACAUGCAAGUGGAGCGACGAACCAGGGCUUGCCCUGGGGCAGAGCCGCGAACGGGUGAGUAACACGUGGGUCACCUGCCUUGAUGACCGGGACAACCCGAGGAAACUCGGGCUAAUACCGGAUGUGCCCGCAAGGGGAAAGGAAGCUUCGGCCUCCGCAUCAAGAUGGGCCCGCGGCCCAUUAGCUUGUUGGUGAGGUAACGGCUCACCAAGGCUUCGAUGGGUAGCUGGUCUGAGAGGACGAUCAGCCACACUGGGACUGAGACACGGCCCAGACUCCUACGGGAGGCAGCAGUGGGGAAUCUUGCGCAAUGCGCGAAAGCGUGACGCAGCAACGCCGCGUGGGGGAAGAAGGCUUUCGGGUUGUAAACCCCUUUCAGUUGGGACGAUGAUGACGGUACCCGUAGAAGAAGCCCCGGCUAACUUCGUGCCAGCAGCCGC